UACGUAGGGUGCGAGCGUUAAUCGGAAUUACUGGGCGUAAAGUGUGCGCAGGCGGCCGCGCAAGUCGAGUGUGAAAGCCCCGAGCUUAACUUGGGAAUUGCGCUCGAAACUACGUGGCUGGAGUGUGGCAGAGGAGAGUGGAAUUCCUGGUGUAGCGGUGAAAUGCGUAGAUAUCAGGAGGAACACCGGUGGUGUAGACGGCUCUCUGGACCGUAACUGACGCUGAGACACGAAAGCGUGGGUAGCAAACAGG
This 253-nucleotide ribosomal RNA is filed under the name uncultured bacterium. RNAcentral describes it as "partial 16S ribosomal RNA". It matches the Rfam family "Bacterial small subunit ribosomal RNA", at positions 524 to 776 of the family's 1533-position model. The record is from RNAcentral.